AUAAGGGACGGUAGAAAGGUGGUUUCAUGGCUAUGUAACCCCCAGGCACCAAUGGAAGAUUUAAACGGGUCCCUGGAAAAACACAAGACAUGCACAUAUUAGUUUCAACUUUCUCACCAUAGCCUACUCUAGUACUGUCAAAGUACAUUAUGAUUACCAGAGGUCUCCGAUUGUGUUUUCAUUUCCAUGCUCCAUGAUGGAGUCUUCUCUUCCUUCAGCAGAUCCCAGACCUCAACUCUGUCUGAAAACCCGAGCGUUAAACAUGACUCACUGAUGAAGACAUCGGUACAGCCAUCAGUGUGUUUCAUAGGGACACCACAGGACUCAUUGGAGGAGGGGACUGCACCGAAACCUGCCAGAGGUCCUUCAGAAGUGCCACGCCAUUGGCUGUGAUGAAGGAGGCCCUCUUGGCCUUGCCUGCAGCAUGGAUAAGAGCCUCCACUGCAACCUGCUGGUGUGUGACAUCUUUGGAGGCACACAGAGAGAUCACUGCAUCCAUCAUUCCCGACAUCUCUAGAGUACUGUUGCCCACCUCGCUCGGUCCUUGGAGGAGCACAGAUACUGUCUGGAUGGCCCGCAGCUUGGCUUCCAGGCCAGAACGACUGAAGUGUUGCCUUCCAAGAAAAAGAACAAAUAAAGAGGCUUUUAAAAGAA
This is a long non-coding RNA of Notolabrus celidotus (New Zealand spotty), 654 nucleotides long. RefSeq lists it as uncharacterized. The record is from RefSeq and is a predicted model, not a curated record. The transcript is spliced from 2 exons. Lineage: Eukaryota; Metazoa; Chordata; Actinopteri; Labriformes; Labridae.